Molecule: ribosomal RNA, 1372 nt
Filed under: uncultured bacterium
Lineage: Bacteria
Description: bacterial SSU rRNA
Rfam family: Bacterial small subunit ribosomal RNA
Source: RNAcentral
GAUGAACGCUGGCGGCGUGCCUAAUACAUGCAAGUCGAGCGAACGGACGAGAAGCUUGCUUCUCUGAUGUUAGCGGCGGACGGGUGAGUAACACGUGGAUAACCUACCUAUAAGACUGGGAUAACUUCGGGAAACCGGAGCUAAUACCGGAUAAUAUUUUGAACCGCAUGGUUCAAAAGUGAAAGACGGUCUUGCUGUCACUUAUAGAUUGAUCCGCGCUGCAUUAGCUAGUUGGUAAGGUAACGGCUUACCAAGGCAACGAUGCAUAGCCGACCUGAGAGGGUGAUCGGCCACACUGGAACUGAGACACGGUCCAGACUCCUACGGGAGGCAGCAGUAGGGAAUCUUCCGCAAUGGGCGAAAGCCUGACGGAGCAACGCCGCGUGAGUGAUGAAGGUCUUCGGAUCGUAAAACUCUGUUAUUAGGGAAGAACAUAUGUGUAAGUAACUGUGCACAUCUUGACGGUACCUAAUCAGAAAGCCACGGCUAACUACGUGCCAGCAGCCGCGGUAAUACGUAGGUGGCAAGCGUUAUCCGGAAUUAUUGGGCGUAAAGCGCGCGUAGGCGGUUUUUUAAGUCUGAUGUGAAAGCCCACGGCUCAACCGUGGAGGGUCAUUGGAAACUGGAAAACUUGAGUGCAGAAGAGGAAAGUGGAAUUCCAUGUGUAGCGGUGAAAUGCGCAGAGAUAUGGAGGAACACCAGUGGCGAAGGCGACUUUCUGGUCUGUAACUGACGCUGAUGUGCGAAAGCGUGGGGAUCAAACAGGAUUAGAUACCCUGGUAGUCCACGCCGUAAACGAUGAGUGCUAAGUGUUAGGGGGUUUCCGCCCCUUAGUGCUGCAGCUAACGCAUUAAGCACUCCGCCUGGGGAGUACGACCGCAAGGUUGAAACUCAAAGGAAUUGACGGGGACCCGCACAAGCGGUGGAGCAUGUGGUUUAAUUCGAAGCAACGCGAAGAACCUUACCAAAUCUUGACAUCCUUUGACAACUCUAGAGAUAGAGCCUUCCCCUUCGGGGGACAAAGUGACAGGUGGUGCAUGGUUGUCGUCAGCUCGUGUCGUGAGAUGUUGGGUUAAGUCCCGCAACGAGCGCAACCCUUAAGCUUAGUUGCCAUCAUUAAGUUGGGCACUCUAAGUUGACUGCCGGUGACAAACCGGAGGAAGGUGGGGAUGACGUCAAAUCAUCAUGCCCCUUAUGAUUUGGGCUACACACGUGCUACAAUGGACAAUACAAAGGGCAGCGAAACCGCGAGGUCAAGCAAAUCCCAUAAAGUUGUUCUCAGUUCGGAUUGUAGUCUGCAACUCGACUACAUGAAGCUGGAAUCGCUAGUAAUCGUAGAUCAGCAUGCUACGGUGAAUACGUUCCCGGGUCU